GGUUAUACCUCUUCCCGUCAUUUCGUUUCCAAUACCCGAAAUCAGGAACUCAAGAAAACCCCAUCACCAUGGAAUUUAACUAAAACCCUGAAUCCGUCCCCUAAACCCCAAAUCCACUACUUCUCUCCUCUUUAUCUAAUUGUAGCGCUUGUUUCAGCUCUAUCUGCAGGUCAAGCUCGCCAUAUUGUCACCCAUGUAUCUAUACAAUCUCACCCUGCAGCAGGCUACCGGCAUUCUCUGUGCCAUAAAUGGGAACUUCUCCGGCGGCAAGACGCAGGAGAUUGUCGUUGCUCGUGGUAAGGUCCUAGAUCUCCUCCGACCUGACGAGAACGGUAAGAUCCAAACUUUACUCUCUGUCGAAGUGUUUGGUGCCAUUAGAUCCCUAGCUCAGUUUCGCUUAACCGGGUCCCAAAAAGAUUACAUCGUUGUCGGUUCCGAUUCCGGUCGAAUCGUAAUACUAGAGUACAACAAGGAGAAAAACGUAUUCGACAAGGUACACCAAGAAACUUUUGGGAAGUCUGGCUGUCGCCGGAUUGUUCCGGGUCAGUACCUGGCUAUUGACCCGAAAGGGAGAGCUGUUAUGAUAGGUGCCUGUGAGAAACAGAAACUUGUGUAUGUUUUGAAUAGGGAUACUGCUGCAAGAUUAACGAUUUCGUCUCCGCUAGAGGCGCACAAAUCGCACACGAUAUGUUAUUCCAUUUGCGGGGUGGAUUGCGGUUUUGAGAACCCGAUUUUUGCUGCCAUUGAGCUUGAUUACUCGGAGGCAGAUCAGGAUUCCACCGGACAAGCAGCUAGUGAAGCCCAGAAGCAAUUGACUUUUUACGAGCUAGAUUUAGGGCUUAACCAUGUGUCUAGGAAAUGGUCUGAACAGGUUGAUAAUGGUGCCAACUUGCUUGUUACUGUUCCGGGAGGAGGGGAUGGGCCAAGUGGAGUACUGGUGUGUGCUGAGAAUUUUGUAAUUUAUAAAAAUUCUAAAGGUCCAGAUUUCCGAGCAGUGAUUCCUAGGCGGGCAGAUUUGCCUGCUGAACGGGGGGUUCUAAUAGUGUCAGCUGCAAUGCAUAAGCAGAAGUCCAUGUUCUUCUUUCUUUUGCAAACUGAAUAUGGAGACAUUUUUAAGGUUACUUUGGAACAUGACGGGGAUAGCGUUUCGGAGUUGAAGAUUAAAUAUUUUGAUACUAUUCCGGUUACAGCUUCCAUGUGUGUGUUGAAGUCUGGAUUUUUGUUUGCUGCAUCGGAGUUUGGAAAUCAUGCUUUGUAUCAGUUUCAGGCAAUAGGGGAGGAGCCUGACGUGGAGUCAUCUUCAGCCACUUUGAUGGAAACUGAUGAAGGUUUCCAGCCUGUGUUUUUCCAGCCUAGAGGACUCAAAAACCUUGUUAGGAUUGACCAGGUUGAGAGCCUGAUGCCAAUAAUGGACAUGAAAGUAAUAAAUCUCUUUGAGGAAGAAACACCUCAGAUAUUUUCACUUUGUGGACGAGGUCCUCGUUCCUCUUUAAGGAUAUUAAGGCCUGGGUUGGCCAUCAGUGAGAUGGCUGUGUCACAGCUUCCUGGUCUCCCAAGUGCAGUUUGGACUGUGAAAAAGAAUGUCAAUGAUGAGUUUGAUGCAUAUAUUGUGGUCUCUUUUACCAAUGCCACCCUUGUGCUUUCAAUUGGUGAAACGGUUGAAGAAGUCAGCGAUAGUGGGUUUCUUGAUACUACUCCCUCCCUUGCUGUUUCUUUAAUAGGUGAUGAUUCUCUAAUGCAAGUCCACCCUAAUGGUAUUCGGCAUAUUAGGGAAGAUGGGCGUAUUAAUGAGUGGAGAACCCCUGGAAAGAGGUCGAUUGUUAAGGUUGGUUCAAACAGACUCCAAGUAGUUAUUGCCCUUACAGGAGGGGAACUUAUAUAUUUUGAGGUGGAUAUGACUGGUCAGCUGAUGGAGGUGGAGAAACAUGAAAUGUCUGGAGAUGUGGCUUGCUUGGACAUUGCUCCAGUCCCUGAAGGAAGACAGAGGUCACGCUUCCUUGCAGUUGGUUCUUAUGACAACACCAUUCGUAUCUUAUCUUUGGAUCCUGAUGACUGUAUGCAGAUUCUCAGUGUUCAAAGUGUAUCUUCGCCUCCAGAAUCCCUCCUCUUUCUUGAAGUCCAGGCUUCAGUAGGUGGAGAAGAUGGUGCUGAUCACCCUGCUAGUCUUUUCCUUAAUGCUGGUUUACAGACUGGGGUUCUAUUUAGGACAGUUGUGGAUAUGGUGACUGGUCAACUUUCUGAUUCCCGUUCCCGGUUUUUAGGGCUGAGGCCUCCGAAGUUAUUCUCGGUCAUUGUGAGAGGACGACGUGCAAUGCUUUGCUUGUCCAGUCGACCCUGGCUUGGUUAUAUUCACCAGGGACAUUUCCAGUUAACACCUCUUUCUUAUGAGACUCUUGAAUUUGCUGCUUCAUUUUCAUCCGAUCAAUGUGCUGAAGGUGUUGUUGCUGUGGCUGGGGAUGCAUUGAGGAUUUUCACAAUUGAGCGUCUUGGGGAAACAUUUAACGAAACUGUGAUUCCUUUAAGGUACACGCCAAGAAAGUUUGUUCUCCACCCCAAGUGGAAGUUGUUAGUGAUUAUUGAGAGUGACCAAGGAGCAUUCAAUGCAGAAGAACGUGAAGCUGCAAGAAAGGAAUUCUUUGAAGCUGCUGGAAUGGGAGAAAAUGGCAAUGCUAAUGCUGAACAAAUGGAGAAUGGUGAUGAUGAAGACAAAGAUGAUCCCCUCUCGGAUGAGCAGUAUGGUUAUCCAAAGGCAGAAUCAGACAAGUGGGUUUCUUGUAUCCGAGUCCUUGAUCCAAGGAAAGCUACUACAACUUGUCUCCUAGAACUUCAGGACAAUGAAGCUGCAUUCAGUGUUUGUACUGUUAAUUUCCAUGAUAAGGAGUAUGGAACUCUUUUAGCAGUUGGUACAGCCAAGGGACUGCAGUUUUGGCCCAAAAGAAGUUUAGUAGCGGGGUUUAUUCAUAUUUAUAGGUUUCUGGAAGAUGGGAAAUCUCUUGAACUUCUGCACAAGACACAAGUGGAAGGUGUACCUCUUGCUUUAUCCCAAUUUCAGGGAAGAUUGCUAGCUGGAAUAGGUCCUGUACUUAGGUUAUACGACUUGGGGAAAAGGAGGUUGCUCAGAAAAUGUGAAAAUAAGCUGUUCCCUAACAAAAUUGUCUCGAUUCAUACUUAUCGUGACCGAAUUUAUGUUGGUGAUAUUCAGGAGUCAUUCCAUUUCUGCAAGUAUAGACGAGACGAAAAUCAACUGUACAUAUUUGCAGAUGAUUGUGUCCCAAGAUGGCUUACUGCAUCAUAUCACAUAGAUUUUGAUACGAUGGCGGGUGCGGACAAAUUUGGGAAUUUCUAUUUUGUUCGGUUGCCACAGGAUGUGUCAGAUGAGAUUGAGGAAGAUCCAACUGGUGGGAAGAUUAAGUGGGAGCAAGGGAAGCUCAAUGGAGCACCUAACAAGGUAGAAGAGAUAGUGCAGUUUCAUGUUGGUGAUGUGGUUACUUGUUUGCAGAAGGCAUCUUUGAUCCCAGGUGGGUCAGAAUGCAUCAUUUAUGGAACUGUCAUGGGGAGCUUGGGGGCAUUGCAUGCAUUCACCUCACGUGAUGAUGUUGACUUCUUUUCGCAUUUGGAGAUGCAUAUGAGGCAGGAACACCCACCUUUAUGUGGAAGAGAUCACAUGGCUUAUAGAUCUGCGUACUUUCCUGUCAAGGAUGUGAUAGAUGGCGAUCUAUGUGAGCAGUUCCCAACACUUCCUCUGGACUUGCAAAGAAAAAUUGCUGACGAGUUGGAUAGAACACCCGGAGAGAUAUUGAAGAAACUUGAAGAAGUUCGAAAUAAGAUAAUUUGAGAAAGAUGUUGUGCUGAGGUUAUCGGCAUUGGUUAGUGCUAAUUGCAGUUAGAGUGAAGCUGUUUAAGCAGAUAAUGCAGAGGCCUGAAAAAGCAUGGGUAAAUUACCAGAUGGACCUCUGACCACAGAAAAUUUAUGCUGGCGGAAGCUUCCUUUCUUUCCCUACAUCCUUGGUCAGGAUCCAAUGGAGUGUGCCGAGCUAAAUGCUGGCAGUCUAAUGUGAGAUUUCUGUUUCUCCUAUCUAUGUUCGGCUAAACCGGGAAUGCCCAUUACUCUCACGGAGCCUUAAAACAAAUGAACUAAUAAUUGAAGGUUCAAAUAGUUUUUCAGCCAGGUUUCUGCAGGAGCUGAUGCUACCCUUGAACCAGGCCAGCAAUGUGGAAGGAUGGUACUGUAAGUUCCAGUUCACAGCAUUAAUAUCGAUAAUGUCUGCAAACACGAUGUCAAUAUUGUUUGUCGGUUCGCCAAAUAGCAAACCAUGCCACAUUCCGGGGUACAGCUUGAAGGACUUAUCUGGACUCUUCGAUACCUCAUAGAGUUGCCUGCUGGCAGAUUUGUCAAUCACCUUGUCAUCUCCUCCAUGGAGAAGUAAGAAGGGGAUUACGACCUAAAAUAGAAAUUAGAAAAUUUUCUCAUUUCUGAUAAUGAAAUAUCAAAAUAGUGCUUAUUAUUACUUUCCAAAAAUUGGAAGUAAAAAAAAUAUGGCAGACCUCUUGAAGUCGGCCCUCAAUAUCUCCACUGAUUCUGAGGAAGUUCAUGGCCGGUUUUCAAGCGAGGGCGGCCUUUGUAGCAAUACUUGUUUGCUUUAAUCUGUCAACAAAAGAAUCAUAUGUUUACCCGUA
RNA transcript from Carica papaya (papaya), 4677 nucleotides. It is a transcript of the gene named spliceosome-associated protein 130 A, with no coding region annotated. NCBI's taxonomy places the organism in Eukaryota, Viridiplantae, Streptophyta, Magnoliopsida, Brassicales, Caricaceae. The record is from RefSeq and is a predicted model, not a curated record.